GCUGCCCCAACCCUUUGUGUACCUACCUCUGUUGCUUUGGCGGGCCGCGGUCCUCCGCGGCCGCCCCCCUCCCCGGGGGGGUGGCCAGCGCCCGCCAGAGGACCAUCAAACUCCAGUCAGUAAACGAUGCAGUCUGAAAAACAUUUAAUAAACUAAAACUUUCAACAACGGAUCUCUUGGUUCUGGCAUCGAUGAAGAACGCAGCGAAAUGCGAUAAGUAAUGUGAAUUGCAGAAUUCAGUGAAUCAUCGAAUCUUUGAACGCACAUUGCGCCCUUUGGUAUUCCGAAGGGCAUGCCUGUUCGAGCGUCAUUACAACCCUCAAGCUCUGCUUGGUAUUGGGCACCGUCCUUUGCGGGCGCGCCUCAAAGACCUCGGCGGUGGCGUCUUGCCUCAAGCGUAGUAGAACAUACAUCUCGCUUCGGAGCGCAGGGCGUCGCCCGCCGGACGAACCUUCUGAACUUUUCUCAAGGUUGACCUCGGAUCAGGUAGGGAUACCCGCUGAACUUAAGCAUAUCAAUAAGCGGAGGAA
RNAcentral lists this ribosomal RNA (530 nucleotides) under Botryosphaeria dothidea. RNAcentral describes it as "eukaryotic LSU rRNA". The stretch from base 157 to 310 matches the Rfam family "5.8S ribosomal RNA". Lineage: Eukaryota; Fungi; Ascomycota; Dothideomycetes; Botryosphaeriales; Botryosphaeriaceae. The record is from RNAcentral.